AUCGACAUCAACACCGCCAUUGUUUUCGUCAUUGUCUCCUUCGUCAGCACGUCAUCGGUGGAGUUAUGAAUAGAGGACGAGGUGAUCGUGGAGCCUCUCUUCUGCUUCUGUGUCAUCUUCCAGGGUUCUUCCGCUAGUUCUGCUUUUGCUCCGGUGGCUUGAAGCACUCAAAGCGUGGUUUCGGCGCGGACGCGGUGGCAUUGGUUGAGGAAAUCUGGAAGGCGAGUGAGCGGGAGUGUCUAGAAGCUUCAAUUGAAGCUGCUUUCGAAGCUAUCAGAUCUCGUGGAACUGAUUUUCAUGUUGUUCCAAGUCAUUGCGAUUGCUAUUUCUGCACCUCUUCUAUGGAUUUUGUGAACUGAAUUGCAGAGAAAGAAAGAAUUGCCUCAACUCAAGCUUCUCACAACUUCCAAAGUGAACGAUAACUGAACAAUCACACAACUGAUGCUCUCAUUACGGAUUUAGGAUCAGCAUCUGCUACAAUUAAUGAUAGCAAGAAAAUUUCACGCCAAGACAUUGAGCUUGUAAGCAAAUUCUACUAGCUUGUCAGGAAGCUAAUUUAAAAAAA
Molecule: non-coding RNA, 565 nt
Organism: Arachis ipaensis
Lineage: Eukaryota; Viridiplantae; Streptophyta; Magnoliopsida; Fabales; Fabaceae
Source: RefSeq, a predicted model, not a curated record